AGAAUCAUCCCAGUCAUCAGAACUUGCCGUUACCGAGGACGCAGACUGGCUUAGUGUUGCUAUGUUUGUUUCCGGCAGUGCUGGUCUUUGUUUCGUAAUUGGUUUUGUAGCCCACAACAAACUUAGGAAACAUGUAUGCGAAAGCGAUGGAAUUCACACCAGAAUGAUGACGAUCCAAAAUCAGUUGGACAACCACAAUUAAAUCCAAGUGCAUGAACCAC
Molecule: long non-coding RNA, 221 nt
Organism: Saccostrea cuccullata (small rock oyster)
Lineage: Eukaryota; Metazoa; Mollusca; Bivalvia; Ostreida; Ostreidae
Exons: 3
Source: RefSeq, a predicted model, not a curated record